AUGUUUGCUCAAGCAUUGUAAUUAAGAUUGACAUCUGCCAUCAAUAGAUAGGGUAAAAUGUAUACAAACUGAAGCCCCGCCUAUCCAUUGAUUGCAGAUGUGAAUCUUAAUUACAAUGUGUGAGCUUACAA
Molecule: small RNA, 131 nt
Filed under: Mytilus galloprovincialis (Mediterranean mussel)
Lineage: Eukaryota; Metazoa; Mollusca; Bivalvia; Mytilida; Mytilidae
Source: RNAcentral